Molecule: ribosomal RNA, 831 nt
Filed under: Achaetomiella virescens
Lineage: Eukaryota; Fungi; Ascomycota; Sordariomycetes; Sordariales; Chaetomiaceae
Description: eukaryotic LSU rRNA
Rfam family: Eukaryotic large subunit ribosomal RNA
Source: RNAcentral
GCGGGGAAAAGAAACCAACAGGAUGCCUAGUACGCGAUUGAAGCAGCUCAAAUUGAAAUCUGCUUCGGCCGAGUGUAAUUGCAGAGGAAGCUUUAGGCGCGGCCCUUUUUGAGUCCCUUGAAACGGGGCGCCACAGAGGGUGAGAGCCCCGUAUAGUUGGAUGCCUAGCCUGUGUAAAGCUCCUUCGACGAGUCGAGUAGUUUGGGAAUGCUGCUCAAAAUGGGAGGUAAAUUUCUUCUAAAGCUAAAUACCGGCCAGAGACCGAUAGCGCACAAGUAGAGUGAUCGAAAGAUGAAAAGCACUUUGAAAAGAGGGUUAAAUAGCACGUGAAAUUGUUGAAAGGGAAGCGCUUGUGACCAGACUUGCGCCAGGCUGAUCAUCCGGUGUUCUCACCGGUGCACUCUGCCCGGCGCAGGCCAGCAUCGGUUCUCGCGGGGGGAUAAAGGCCCCGGGAACGUAGCUCCUCCGGGAGUGUUAUAGCCCGGGGCGUAAUGCCCUCGCGGGGACCGAGGACCGCGCAUCUUGCAAGGAUGCUGGCGUAAUGGUCACCAGCGACCCGUCUUGAAACACGGACCAAGGAGUCAAGGUUUUGCGCGAGUGUUUGGGUGUAAAACCCGCACGCGUAAUGAAAGUGAACGUAGGUGAGAGCUUCGGCGCAUCAUCGACCGAUCCUGAUGUAUUCGGAUGGAUUUGAGUAGGAGCGUUAAGCCUUGGACCCGAAAGAUGGUGAACUAUGCUUGGAUAGGGUGAAGCCAGAGGAAACUCUGGUGGAGGCUCGCAGCGGUUCUGACGUGCAAAUCGAUCGUCAAAUCUGAGCAUGGGGGCGAAAGA